This 283-nucleotide long non-coding RNA is filed under the name Ananas comosus (pineapple). RNAcentral describes it as "long non-coding RNA (ACOM_LNC035534)". The record is from RNAcentral. Lineage: Eukaryota; Viridiplantae; Streptophyta; Magnoliopsida; Poales; Bromeliaceae.
UCUGACAUCUCCGCCAAUUUUCAUAAUUUUCUGACACUGUGCAUUUUCUGCUAAUUUAUCUGCCCCGUUUCUUACAGAAAAUUCUAAAUAAUCUGUUUUCGCUCUGAUUUCAGCACAGGUCAUUCCCAACUUAUAUUUCACUUCUCUAAAUCCAAUAAAAAUAGUAUCUCAUACUAUUUUUAUUUAUUUUCAUUUUUAUAUUUAAAUUCCGAUAUGUUACAUUCCACCGCAACCUCACCGGAACCAUUUAAAUGCACACCGUAACUUCACAGUAUUAGAAGUC